CUUCAUGGAUACAGCAUGAUACAAGACAGAAAGAGCUAAGCCAAGAAGACCACCUUCUGAUGACUCAGGAAAGCAAGCAUCAAUCCUUGGCAAAGUCAUCUGGAUCUCAGUUUCCUGGUCUGCAGCGCUUCCCUGGUGGUCCAGUGAUUAAGAAUCCACCUUGCAACACAGUGGACACCAGUUCAAGUCCAUGGUCCAGAAAGAUCCCACCCAUCUUGGGGCAACUAAGCCCAUGUGCCACAACUGCUGAGCCCGUGCUCCAGGGUCCCGAGCUCCAGAAUCCCACUCUCCACAAUAAGAGAACCUGCGGCGAUGGGAAGCCCACGCACCGCAACUGGAGGGUAGCCCCCACUGGCCACAAAUAGAGAAAGCCAGCACACAGCAACGAAGACCCAGCAGAGCCAAAAGGUUUAAAAAUGAAUAAACAAAUAAAUAAA
Long non-coding RNA from Bubalus bubalis (water buffalo), 437 nucleotides. RefSeq lists it as uncharacterized. Lineage: Eukaryota; Metazoa; Chordata; Mammalia; Artiodactyla; Bovidae. The record is from RefSeq and is a predicted model, not a curated record. The transcript has 2 exons.